GAACUGAAGAGUUUGAUCCUGGCUCAGAUUGAACGCUGGCGGCAUGCCUUACACAUGCAAGUCGAACGGCAGCACGGGUGCUUGCACCUGGUGGCGAGUGGCGAACGGGUGAGUAAUACAUCGGAACAUGUCCUGUAGUGGGGGAUAGCCCGGCGAAAGCCGGAUUAAUACC
RNAcentral lists this ribosomal RNA (172 nucleotides) under Burkholderia multivorans. RNAcentral describes it as "partial 16S ribosomal RNA". It matches the Rfam family "Bacterial small subunit ribosomal RNA", at positions 1 to 170 of the family's 1533-position model. Lineage: Bacteria; Pseudomonadati; Pseudomonadota; Betaproteobacteria; Burkholderiales; Burkholderiaceae. The record is from RNAcentral.